RNAcentral lists this ribosomal RNA (1104 nucleotides) under Triticum aestivum (bread wheat). RNAcentral describes it as "partial small subunit ribosomal RNA". Lineage: Eukaryota; Viridiplantae; Streptophyta; Magnoliopsida; Poales; Poaceae. The record is from RNAcentral.
AUGCUGCGCUGCUACUUCGGCGGGUCGCCAACAAGAGCAGAUCAUACUGCAUCAGGGAACUGCAAUCUUUCUACUGCUGCUGCUGGUGGUGCAAUCGUAGUUGACGCCGAGGAUAUGUCAUACACGCUCAAGAUAGCGGGAUACUCGAGAACCAAGGCGCUGCUCGAGACCGGCAAGUGGGCAACAUCUACUCCUUUUCGCAUUGGAGGCCAUGUUUGGACCGUGCGUUAUUGCCCAAACGAUGAUGCCGAUUUCAUGUCUAUUUACCUGGUUCUUGAUUCUGAGGGUGCCAAUAAGGAUGUCAAGGUGAGAUGCAAGUUCAGUGUGCUCGACAAGGCCGGGGUGCCAGUGCCUUCUCUAAGCCGUGCCUACAAGUCCGUACAGACCUUCACGCCAAAAGCUUCCACCUGGGGCUACAGCAAAUUUAUCAGCAAGGCGGAUUUGGAGGGGUCGCCGCAUGUCAUAGACGAUUGUUUCACCAUCAGAUGCGAUGUCACCGUCUUGAAGGAGAUCCGUUGCGAGGAAAUUACAAAGCUUAAACGACAGUUUGUAGUGGUUCCUCCUAGCAACAUGUGCCGGGACCUCGGCGGUCUCCUCGAGAGCAUGGAUGGAGCAGACGUCACCUUUCACGCGGAGCUAUUCGGCUCCAUGAUGGAGAAUGCUGGUGAUCCGGUUGAGAUCGGCGAUAUGGAGAGCGACGUGUUCAAGUCAUUGCUGCAUUUCAUAUACACUGACGACUCACCGCCUGAGAUGACCCGUGACGUGGUGAUGGCUGGCCAUUUACUCGUUGCGGCUGACAGGUACGAUGUUGAGAGGUUGAAACUGAUAUGCGAGGACAAGUUGUGCACUCACAUUGACUCCGACAACAUGGCGACUAGCUUAGCUUUAGCUGUACAACAUAGUUGCCCUGGACUAAAGGAAGACUGCUUUGAGUUCCUUGCCCCUCCUUCCAAUUUUGAGGCUAUGGUGGCAAAUGAUGGUUAUGAGCAUCUGAAAAGCAGUUGCCCGUCCGUUCUCAAGGAGCUGAUUGCUAGAUUCUUACCCGCUGAGCUAAAAGCGGCCAAGGAUAUCAUCAUGAAAUUCUUAGUACCCCACAGCGUGUGA